This 72-nucleotide transfer RNA is filed under the name Phrynosoma platyrhinos (Desert horned lizard). RNAcentral's name for it is "tRNA-OTHER". Lineage: Eukaryota; Metazoa; Chordata; Lepidosauria; Squamata; Phrynosomatidae. The record is from RNAcentral.
GCCAGUGUGGCAUAGUGGUUUGAGAGUUGGACUACAACUCUGGAGACCAGUGUUCAAUUCCCAGCUCUUCUG